RNAcentral lists this transfer RNA (84 nucleotides) under Anguilla anguilla (European eel). RNAcentral's name for it is "tRNA-OTHER". The record is from RNAcentral. Lineage: Eukaryota; Metazoa; Chordata; Actinopteri; Anguilliformes; Anguillidae.
GGUAGGCUGGCUCAUUUGGUUAAGGCACCACAUUAUGAUGUAUGGACGAGCCCCACAGCUUUGGAUCGAAUCCAGACCAUACCA